GACGAACGCUGGCGGCGUGCUUAACACAUGCAAGUCGAACGGAAAGGCCCUGCUUGCAGGGUUCUCGAGUGGCGAACGGGUGAGUAACACGUGGGUGAUCUGCCCUGCACUUCGGGAUAAGCCUGGGAAACUGGGUCUAAUACCGGAUAGGAGCCAUUUUUAGUGUGAUGGUUGGAAAGUUUUUUCGGUGUAGGAUGAGCUCGCGGCCUAUCAGCUUGUUGGUGGGGUAAUGGCCUACCAAGGCGGCGACGGGUAGCCGGCCUGAGAGGGUGGACGGCCACAUUGGGACUGAGAUACGGCCCAGACUCCUACGGGAGGCAGCAGUGGGGAAUAUUGCACAAUGGGCGCAAGCCUGAUGCAGCGACGCCGCGGGGGGGAUGACGGCCUUCGGGUUGGAAACUCCUUUCGCUAGGGACGAAGCUUUUUGUGACGGUACCUAGAUAAGAAGCACCGGCUAACUACGUG
This 465-nucleotide ribosomal RNA is filed under the name uncultured bacterium. Its description in RNAcentral is "partial 16S ribosomal RNA". It matches the Rfam family "Bacterial small subunit ribosomal RNA", at positions 28 to 507 of the family's 1533-position model. The record is from RNAcentral.